UGCGAAUGGCUCAUUAAAUCAGCUAUGGUUUAUUGGAUCAUACCCGUUAAAUGGAUAACUGUAAUAACUCUAGAGCUAAUACAUGCCAUUAUGCCCUGACCCUCACGGGAAUGGGUGCACUUAUUAGAUCAGAAGCCAACCGUGUAUGGCCGAAAGGCUGUGCAUGUUGACCUUCUGGUGACUCUGGAUAAUUGUUACAGAUCGCAGUCGGCCUUGAGUCGGCGACGGGUCCUUCAAAUGUCUGCCCUAUCAACUUUCGAUGGUAGGUGACCUGCCUACCAUGGUGAUAACGGGUAACGGGGAAUCAGGGUUCGAUUCCGGAGAGGGAGCCUGAGAAACGGCUACCACUUCCAAGGGAGGCAGCAGGCGCGCAAAUUACCCACUCCCAGUACGGGGAGGUGGUGACGAAAAAUACCGAUGCGGGACUCUUAACGAGGCUCCGUAAUCGGAAUGAGUGAACUAUAAAUCCUUUCACGAGGAUCAAUUGGAGGGCAAGUCUGGUGCCAGCAGCCGCGGUAACUCCAGCUCCAAUAGCGUAUAUUAAAGUUGCUGCAGUUAAAAAGCUCGUAGUUGGAUCUCGGUAUCACUGUUGCCCGUCAGUCCUUAGGCGACAGACUGCGUGUGCAUGGGUUUGACUCGUGUUGCCGUGGUUGGUCGUCUGAGUUGGCGGUGUGACGGUGUGGCCUUUCAGCCAUGUCUGUGGUGAAAUACCCGCAGGUGUAGGCGAGUGUCAGGCGGUGCCUUGCGAAAGUAGGGCUCGUCGGCUCGUCUGCAUGCCUUUGGAUGCCCUUCAAAAGGUGUCUGUGGGCGGAUGGCACGUUUACUUUGAACAAAUUUGAGUGCUCAAACCAGGCCGAUGUUGCCUGAAAAGUUUUGCAUGGAAUAAUGGAAUAGGACUUCGGUUCUAUUUCGUUGGUUUUCGGAUCCGAAGUAAUGAUCAAAAGAGACAGGCGGGGACGUUUGUAUGGCUGCGCUAGAGGUGAAAUUCAUGGACCGUAGCCAGACAAACUAAAGCGAAAGCAUUCGUCAAGCAUGUUUUCAUUGGCCAUGAGCGAAAGUCAGAGGCUCGAAGACGAUCAGAUACCGUCCUAGUUCUGACCAUAAACGAUGCCAACUGACGAUCCGUGGUGGUAGUCCAUCAACCUUCCCCACGGGCAGUCCCCGGGAAACCUUUAAGUCUUUGGGUUCCGGGGGAAGUAUGGUUGCAAAGCUGAAACUUAAAGGAAUUGACGGAAGGGCACCACCAGGAGUGGAGCCUGCGGCUUAAUUUGACUCAACACGGGAAAACUCACCCGGCCCGGACACUAUGAGGAUUGACAGAUUGAUAGCUCUUUCUUGAUUUGGUGGUUGGUGGUGCAUGGCCGUUCUUAGUUGGUGGAGCGAUUUGUCUGGUUAAUUCCGAUAACGAACGAGACUCCUGCCUGCUAAUUAGUGCAUCUGUCUACUGUACCUGCGUAGGCGGUGUUUGGCGAGGUUGCUCCCGUACGCUGCCCUGGUGGCUCGGUUGGCUAUCCGGUCGACUGUUGUUUCUGGGGUGGUGGGAGUGGCUGGUUCGGCAUUAGCUUCCGGGUGCGGCGCGGGUGUCUACUUCUUAGAGGGACAAGCGGGAGAAGCCGCACGAAAUGGAGCAAUAACAGGUCUGUGAUGCCCUUAGAUGUCCGGGGCCGCACGCGCGCUACAAUGACGGUGGCAAUGAGUCUGACCUUCUGGCCCGAAAGGGUUGGGCAAACUGGUCAAUCACCGUCAUGACAGGGAUCGGGGCUUGGAAUUGUUCCCCGUGAACGAGGAAUUCCUAGUAAGUGCAAGUCAUAAGCUUGCGCUGAUUACGUCCCUGCCCUUUGUACACACCGCCCGUCGCUACUACCGAUUGAAUGGUUUAGUAAGGUCCUUGGAUUGGCCCCAUUGUGGUGGUCACCGAAAGGUGGCUGCCCGACCGGGGCUGAGAAGACGACCAAACUUGAUCAUUUAGAGGAAGUAAAAGUCGUAACAAG
Molecule: ribosomal RNA, 1991 nt
Filed under: Proteocephalus macrocephalus
Lineage: Eukaryota; Metazoa; Platyhelminthes; Cestoda; Proteocephalidea; Proteocephalidae
Description: SSU rRNA
Rfam family: Eukaryotic small subunit ribosomal RNA
Source: RNAcentral